Long non-coding RNA from Cloeon dipterum, 4295 nucleotides. RefSeq lists it as uncharacterized. The transcript is spliced from 5 exons. The record is from RefSeq and is a predicted model, not a curated record. Lineage: Eukaryota; Metazoa; Arthropoda; Insecta; Ephemeroptera; Baetidae.
CUUUGUUGGCAAAUCAUGGCUCAGUGCGAAUCCGCCGGACGCGCCGCAAGGUGCCCCUCGCGCCCAUGCGGCCCCCGGCACACCAUGUGCCACCCCGCGCGGUGGGCUGUCACAGUGGACCAACCGAUCAGUGCGCGUUGACAACCAGGAUUACCUGACCACCUGUGCCCAUCCUGCCAACUCGUGUUUUCAUUACUGACGUUUGCGGUACUUCUCUUGGGGUGACACAACGUGCCUUUCAUACUUUAUGCUGAGCUGCUCAACAAACGGAUCUUCAAAUGGCUGUGAAGAGCAUUCUUCCUCGACUGGCACUGAUAGAAAGGUCUCUGCAAAUGUGCACAAAUUUGGAUUACUUCAACACCAUAAAUUUAUAAUAACCAUCUUAUUUGGUGCGGCCUGUGGAAACUGUGGGGUGUGAUGCAGUGCAGCAAAUCAUUACGGCCCGGACAUCCGCGCGCUUUUUUCCGCUGCUGGCAGUGUCCAGCCCUGUGCGCACCACGCCGCGGUGCUCCCGAGGCCAGAGUCAGGUGCUCCACUAACUCGCCGCACUCGGCUCGUCAGGCGCAGGCGGCGCACGUAAAUCACGCAAUUAUUGCACCACAAUAGCCGCUCGUCCAAUUUGAAUGCCGCAGGGAGCUCAAAUGCGUGCGGAGGAGGAUCGAAGAAAAACACGUCGAUGGAUAGAGCGUGCCCUUCCUUGGAUCGUCGGGCUGGCCUGUGAUCAGUGAGGUGGACAUAGCAAAGAGCUACUACCAUGCAUGUGCUGUAGCAUCCAAUCUGGAUCACCUCUCAUACGCCACGCCGCUUCAUGCUAAAAUACCUACGCAGGUAUAGUCAUUCUAUAUGGAGGGAUCAGUGAUCGUGAGGAAUCUCAUCGAUAAGCCAUCGUCCAGCCAAGCAUCGCUUUCCCAGCAGCCUCUGAUUCUAGUCACUGACUUGGUCGGGGCAAUUUCGCAGUCUGUUUUGGAAUGUUGUUAGCUUAUGGAAUACUAGCCAUGAUUUUUUUAUUGCUAGUUGCAUGCUGAAAUUUACUUAUUAUAGUCCUUUGAGAAAAAAAUUAUAUAAUAAUAAAUAUUCUUAAGAUAUGACUCGGGAGCAGGGCAAAGCCGUAAUGGGCCAGAUUUAAAAUUUAGUUAACUAAUGAACGGAUCAAGAAAGAGUGAAAGCUCUAGAAGAGUGAUCACUCAUACUGUUAAUGAGUUAAAUUACAUAAUUUAUUCCAUACAGUAUACCGAAAUUUGAUUUUUUUAUCGCUUUAAAGAUUGUCAAAGAAUUAUUUUUAGUUGAAAUAUAAUGCGUUGUAUAGCAUGCUCUUUAUAUUUCAUUAUUUUUAUAAAAUAACCGGGGAAGCAGCAUUUAAUAUCAACUGAAAAAUUAUUGCAUCCUCGUAUGCUCACAAUUCCAAGACAUUUUUUUAAUCUCUGCACAGCAUUUCCCGUGGGCUAUGAGCUCACUGUGUCCCAGGUCUCAAUAACACCGCCGAGCGGAUAACAUGGUACCCGAGUGGCCACAAGGGAGCUUACACCUACAUUCAGGGUAGGAUAGUGAGAUUAGCGAUCUUCAUUCCCUUUGAUGUUCACAAUUUUACAUCUCAUGCAUAUAAGCGAAUUGUCCACAACCUCAUCAGAGCUGUGCAGGUCUAUUUGUCGGCAGAGAAAACACGCUCUGAGCAGAGCAGCUUUUUCCGCGGUGCUGCCACUGAAGGCACUUGCCCGAAAGUAAUGCGAAUUGGCAAGGUCGUGUUUUACCUGCAGGGACUCGAAGAAAAACAACACAAUGCAAACGAAAUCAACACACGCAUAGUGAUCACGAAAUAUAAUAAUGGUCACGCAGUGCGUACAUGAGUGUAAUUACGCGCGGCUCGCACGUAAUGACAUUCGCUGGCGAGCAAUAAAGGGUGUAUAAAUAUAUAUAUGGAGAGAGAGAGAGAGAGAGAGAGAGAGAGAGAGAGAGAGAGAGAGAGGCUGCCGGAGGAAAAUUCAGCAUAUAUAACGCGGUGCGAGAUAAAUAAAAGCUGCUACCGGGCCUUUGUCUCCUAAUCUAAUUGAGCUGCACUCAAAACCAACCCCCGCGGCCACCUUUUUGUGUACGCGCCGCGCGACGACCAUUAUUAUUAUUAUUAUUUGAGCUGCAGUUUUCGCCAACAAACACACACAUAACGCAUACGCACACACUCGUGCAUGCUAAUGAGGCUUUUGCUCGCUUUUUGCGCGCGGACAAUUCCGCAGCUUCUUUUGAUCUUCAGCUGCGCGGGUGGCCAGGAUGUGAAAUUUAAAAUGAACCCAGUUGACCAAAUAAUUGUUUGUGCGCAGCCUUUUGCUUUGUGUCUUGAUGAAAAAUUGUUCUGCAAUUAAGCUGAUUCACGCGUUAAAAUAUUGCUGCUCUACGGUCUACUCAUGGAAAUUUAAACUUUGGCACGCUCAUGCUAAAUCUCAACUUAUAGUGUUACAUACUGUUCUUCAGAUCUGUGACAGUGGAGAAUUUUCGUAAAAUGGCACUAGAAUAAGAAAACACACCUUUACUUCUUGGUUAUCCUCCAGGAAAUAGCUAGUCAGCCUUCAAUAUUAUGACUUGAAAUAUGAUAAAAUGAUAUAAAUCUCUAAAAUUGAGCCGCAUGUUUGUGUCUCAUCAAAGCAAAGAUUAGAGUAUCAUCGAUUUACAAUAAAAUGUUUGUUGUUAAUCUAAGAAGAAACUUUGGUUUUACUACAGAACCGAAAACCAGGAAUCAAAAAUUCAAUUUAGUUUUAAAAACUAAUAUUUCUCCAUAGUAUAAUGCCAUUAUUGUGUUCUACACAAGCUUGUUGCUCGUAAAUCUACGAGUUUGUUAGUUAGCCGGCAAGAGUGCUUGCCGCGCGUGAAGAGGAAAGAGUUCUGUUUUGCAUGAAUUAAAUAAUUUCUGUUUUUCACGAAAUUAUACAUAUUCUCAUUCUGAAUUAUUCCCAGCAGCAGGCCGAGACUCUCGUUUGAGAAUGUGUCCCCUUCUUAAUAAAUAUAAUUAUUUCUCCCUCUUCGCAACAUGCCUCAGUAUUUUUCUCUUGCUGCCGACAGUUUUUUCUCUUUUUCUCACACGGUUGCUUCUCUCGUGGAUUUAUUUCCGCACGUCAAAAGUAAUUAAGCAAAUGUGACGCAAAUUAUAAUUCCGUCGCUUUUGCGAAUAAAUGUUGUGUUGUGUUCCUUCCUCCGCUUCAAAGGGAGCUCACGAAAUUCGCUGUACAGCAGCCGCGGGCAAAUUAGAUUUCAGCACCUUGCCAAGUUCAUUUAGCGUGUAAGAGGUCAUUCGUCUUCGUUAAGUUAAUUGCAUAAAUAUUAUUGAAACGUUAAAUUCGCUACGAGACAAGCUGCGUGCUAGCAGGCGCCUUUCGGAAUUAUUUAUUCACCAUUAGCGGCACGAAAGGAGCAAAUUUCGGUUGGCUUCUUUUCCUUUUGCGACGCGUUCUUUCGCUCACCGGCAGUCUCGACCGGAAAAUAGGGGCCUCGAGUCAAAGGUCACCGUCAGACGCCUUGUUCGGAGCCCCUUAAUGAGCAUGGAGCACUCAGCGACACGAGCCCAAUCGCGAGAAAAGGUGGCUUAUGAGCCUGAAUACGAGGCCGAGAUUUGAGCUUUUCGAAACGAGAGGUGCGCGCUCGCUGUGCGGUUAAUUAUGCACACGCGGGCGCCUUUCGUUUGUAUGCAAAUCGAUUCAGUUUCCCUUGAAUGUGUCAUCCAGGUGGUGAUGCCAUCAGAUGAAUAUCUGACUCGCUAAUGAUAAUCAGGCCGAAAUAGAUAUAUUUGCAUAACAACUUUUUGAGCAGAGAACAACAUAAAAAAUUGUUCCGUAUCUCUAUAAUAAUUGGUAGCGGAAAAAUUGUGCAAUUCUCAACAACCAAACGCGAAUUUCCUUGUUGCAGGAAAAGGACAACGAUCAAUUCUACAACGAAAAUUUGGGUGUUUGUUGAGCGUUGCGCAAUUUUACCGUGACAUGACAAGGACAAAAUGUUUUUUGAGAUAUAGGCUUUUCCUGAUAAUUUAUUUUAUCCCUGUCAGGCAAGCACACUUUUUAAAUUGUUCUAAAAUGUUGCAAUGUACGUAUGAAACAAACAGCACAGUAUAGAGGAUGUGAAUUUUCAUUUCCCCUUAAACCUCCAUUUCUCUCUCGUUGUGCAAGGAAGUGAAUGAAUAAUUUUUAAUAAUUAAUAUUUUGUUGCAUUGAACGCACAUGCAAAUUGGCAUUGCAGCGCAAAAGUGUUGGAUUUAGUUUUAAUGCGAUUUAUGUUAUAAUUUCCAUGCCCUGAUGAUUGCAUGUGAACUAUUUUAU